Molecule: ribosomal RNA, 253 nt
Filed under: uncultured bacterium
Lineage: Bacteria
Description: partial 16S ribosomal RNA
Rfam family: Bacterial small subunit ribosomal RNA
Source: RNAcentral
UACAGAGGGGGCAAGCGUUGUUCGGAAUUACUGGGCGUAAAGGGCGCGUAGGCGGCCUGCUAAGUCGAACGUGAAAUCCCUGGGCUCAACCCAGGAACUGCGUCCGAGACUGGUUGGCUUGAAUCCGGGAGAGGGAUGUGGAAUUCCAGGUGUAGCGGUGAAAUGCGUAGAUAUCUGGAGGAACACCGGUGGCGAAGGCGGCAUCCUGGACCGGCAUUGACGCUGAGGCGCGAAAGCCAGGGGAGCAAACGGG